RNAcentral lists this ribosomal RNA (965 nucleotides) under uncultured Bacillus sp. RNAcentral's name for it is "bacterial SSU rRNA". It matches the Rfam family "Bacterial small subunit ribosomal RNA", at positions 306 to 1263 of the family's 1533-position model. The record is from RNAcentral. Lineage: Bacteria; Bacillati; Bacillota; Bacilli; Caryophanales; Bacillaceae.
GGCCACACUGGGACUGAGACACGGCCCAGACUCCUACGGGAGGCAGCAGUAGGGAAUCUUCCGCAAUGGACGAAAGUCUGACGGAGCAACGCCGCGUGAGUGAUGAAGGUUUUCGGAUCGUAAAGCUCUGUUGUUAGGGAAGAACAAGUGCAAGAGUAACUGCCGGCACCUUGACGGUACCUAACCAGAAAGCCACGGCUAACUACGUGCCAGCAGCCGCGGUAAUACGUAGGUGGCAAGCGUUGUCCGGAAUUAUUGGGCGUAAAGGGCUCGCAGGCGGUUUCUUAAGUCUGAUGUGAAAGCCCCCGGCUCAACCGGGGAGGGUCAUUGGAAACUGGGAAACUUGAGUGCAGAAGAGGAGAGUGGAAUUCCACGUGUAGCGGUGAAAUGCGUAGAGAUGUGGAGGAACACCAGUGGCGAAGGCGACUCUCUGGUCUGUAACUGACGCUGAGGAGCGAAAGCGUGGGGAGCGAACAGGAUUAGAUACCCUGGUAGUCCACGCCGUAAACGAUGAGUGCUAAGUGUUAGGGGGUUUCCGCCCCUUAGUGCUGCAGCNUAACGCAUUAAGCACUCCGCCUGGGGAGUACGGUCGCAAGACUGAAACUCAAAGGAAUUGACGGGGGCCCGCACAAGCGGUGGAGCAUGUGGUUUAAUUCGAAGCAACGCGAAGAACCUUACCAGGUCUUGACAUCCUCUGACAACCCUAGAGAUAGGGCUUUCCCUUCGGGGACAGAGUGACAGGUGGUGCAUGGUUGUCGUCAGCUCGUGUCGUGAGAUGUUGGGUUAAGUCCCGCAACGAGCGCAACCCUUGAUCUUAGUUGCCAGCAUUCAGUUGGGCACUCUAAGGUGACUGCCGGUGACAAACCGGAGGAAGGUGGGGAUGACAUCAAAUCAUCAUGCCCCUUAUGACCUGUGCUACACACGUGCUACAAUGUACAGAACAAAGGGCUGCGAGACCGCGAGGU